GUCUUCGUGGCUCAGUAGGUUAGAGCGUUGGUCUCAUACAAUUCUAUGAAUUUCUAUAUGAAUUUCUAUGAUUCAACCUAUAGGUUGGGAUAUCCAAAGGUCGUGAGUUCGAACCUCACCGAGGACA
Molecule: non-coding RNA, 127 nt
Organism: Daldinia loculata
Lineage: Eukaryota; Fungi; Ascomycota; Sordariomycetes; Xylariales; Hypoxylaceae
Source: the annotation of a RefSeq genome assembly